UUUAAUUAAUUGCAACAUUAUAAUUACUAACUUUUCUCUCUCCUCAUUUUUCCUCUGUAAUAACUAGAACUAUCUGAUGUUCUUCAUGGUAUCCGCGAGUUUCGUCCGUCAAUUGAUUCACAAUCUGCUCAAUUUCCUUCAAAAUUGUUGCAUUAAACACAUCAAACACUUUUGUUUCUUUUUCUCAGAUUAUCCUGGCAUUUUCUGCGAAUUUUUUUUGGGAGGGUCCAAGCGAAAUUCUGGAAAUUUUUAUUGAAUUUUGUCCAAUUAAUUGUUUAAUUGCAGCUGUUUGUUUGGUUGUUGUAGAAGCGAUUACUGCAAUUUCGAAGUUGAUUCAGUAAUUUCGAGGUCAUCGGAAUCGCUAAUCUGAAUUUCUGAAUUUUUGUUGAAGAUAUCUUUGAAAGAUUAAUCAAAUGGCUAUUGAAGAUUCUACGAGCACUAGAGAUAAUAUUCAGCAAAAUUCGACCAAUUUUAAUGUAAGUAAUUGCUUCAGCAAUCCUCUUUUCCUUGCUCCUUCGGAUAAUUCAACUACAUCUCUUGUUUCUGUAUUGUUAAAUGGGGACAAUUAUAUAGGAUGGUGUAAAAAUGUUAAGCGUGCUCUUGGAGCUAAUAAAAAACUAGGUUUUGUUGAUGGAUUUGUUAAGAAACCGAGUACCACAGGUCCUAUGCAUCAUCAAUGGAUACGUUGUGACUACGUGGUUGUAGGUUGGAUUUUAAGUUCCAUAAAACCUGAAAUUUCUGAGAAUUUCAAUAUGGUGGACUCCUCUGAAGCUUUGUGGGCAGCAAUUCGAGAAUGUUUUGGCCAAAGUAAUGGACCUCAAGUGUAUCAGUUGAAGAAAGAAUUAAAUGGCUUAAGGCAACAAAAUCUGACUGUGUUGCUUUACUAUAACAAAUUGAAGAAUUUAUGAGAUAAAUUGAAGGAACUGAGGAGAUUUCCGGACUGUAAUUGUGGUGCUUUGAGCAGUUGUACUUGCAACUUCUUGAAGAGAUUAGCUGAGUUUGACUCAGAGGAGAAAGUGAUACAACUGUUAUUAGGACAUAAAGUUCAAUCCUCUUGUCACUCCAUCCGGUGGCAAGAGAGAUUGAAAGAAAGAAAAGAUGGAGAGGUUUUGUGACUAUUGUAAGAGUAGGGGGGUUAUGUAAAGGACCAAUGCUUCAAGCUUAUUAGGUAUCCGGAUUGGUUUCCAAAGAAUUCCAACUGGAAAUGGUUUAGCUGCACAUGUAGCAUCAGAUGGGGAGAUGCUUGAUACUCCUUUUGGUGAUGAUGAUAACGGAGCAUCUGCUUCUGGCGGGCAGAAUGGUUCUUUUCAGAUGAAUCCUAGUAUGAUAAAAGCUAUAUGUAAUGAGGUGAUGAAAGCCAUGAAAGGAAAGCAACCUGCAAACAAUUCUGGAGCACAUUCCGUUGCAUUUGCUAAUAGUGCAGGCAUAAGUUUUGAAUGCUCUAUCUCCUGCAAUUUGGUGUUUGGUGAUAGUUGGAUUAUAGACUCAGGUGCCACAGACCAUAUGACCUAUAAUGCUAAACUAUUUAAGUCCAGAAAAACUCUUAAAAUUCCCAUCCCUAUUUGUUUACCUGACGGUAUCUACAAAUAUGUGAAAGAAUUAGGGGAUAUCAGCCUGGUUUCUGGUUUAGUGUUAAAAGAUGUGAUGUUGUUUUGAAAACUUUAAACACAGCUUGUCCGUUACGAAGUUUAUUGCUCAGAACAACCUAUUAGUAACAGUAAUGAUACUGAAUGUGCAUUUCAGGACCAUAUUACUAGACAAUGUUUGGCAAUUGGAAAGAAGAUUGGCACUUAUACUACUUGCAGAUGACAGGUAUCGGUGAAAGUGUACAUACGGAAAUAAGUGAGUUUGAUAGGUCAACUAAUGCUGCUAUUGUUGAUUCUAAUCUUGAAAAUAAGACUGUAGUGAAUGUCGUAGCUAAGAAAGCAAUUGAUGUAAAUGUGAUGCAUGCUAGAAUAGGCCAUGCUUCAUUAUCUAGGAUGAAACACAUUGUUGAUUGUGCUUUUCGUGGUAUAGAGGAGUUUGGAUGUGAUAUAUGUUAUCAGCCUAAGUUUCAUAAGCUUCCUUUUCCUCGAAGUGACAACAGAGCCAAACAAAUUUUGGAUUUAGUGCACAUUGACCUCUGGGGGCCUUUUAGAGUUCCUACUCUCAAUGGUGCUUCAUAUUUCUUAACCACCCUAGAUGAUAACAGUAGAACCACAUGGACUUUUUUGUUAUAUAACAAGGGUCAGGUAUACAAAACCAUUUCUGACUUUCUUCACCUUGUUAAAAACAGUUUGGUAAGCACAUCAAGUGCAUUAGAUCUGAUAACGGCACUGAAAUAAUCAAGGUUGAAUGCAAUGAAUCGUUUUCUGCUAAGGGUAUAGUUCAUCAAAAGAGUACUGUGGGAACCCCUCAACAAAAUGGUAGAGUUGAGAGGAAACACAAACAUCUUGCUGAGGUUGUUAGAGCUUUGAGAAUAUAAGCUAAUUUGCCAAAGAAAUUCUAGGGUGACUAUUUAUUCUUACAGCCACUUAUCACAUUAAUAAAAUUCCAACUCCUGUUCUUGGUUUGAAAUCUCCUUAUGAAGUUGUACUUGGAGAAGAACCUACAUAUGACCAUCUUUGAGUUCUUGGUUGUGAAUGCUUUGUUCAUAACCGUGAUAGACAGAAAGACAAGUUUGAUCCCCGUGGUGAAAUGUAAUUUCAUAGGAUACCCUUAUGGCCAAAAAGGUUAUAAGAUCUAUGAUUUGACUACUCAUAAAACCUUUUUUUCCAAAGACAUUAUUUUCCAUGAAACUGUUUUUCCAUACCUAAGUCAAAAACAAAAAGUUCUUCCUUCUAAUGUUAUGUCAUCUCUGCAAAUGAUUCUAACUUAUCUUCUCUAUUUUCUUCUGACAUUUUUAUCUCAAUACCUAGUUUAAAAAGGCGUAAGGCGCCCUAAGGCGCACAAGGGUCAUGGAGCCUAGGCCCAUUUUGGAUACGAGGCGCACAUAAUUUCUAAAUAAACCUUAAAAUACGGUAUAGAACAAAACUAACACAAUUUAUACUCAAAACAACAUAAAACAAUACUGUUGGAGUGUCAUAUUUUCUUGUCGGUUCAUAAACAUCGCGUGAUCCCAUGGAUGGAGUGCCAGAAUCAGAACCUUCCAUGGUAAUUACAAACUGGAAAUAUGAAAAUUAACUCAUAUUAUGCUACUGAAGGCUUAGGUUGUAGAGAUAUGACCGUUGCUAGUCACAUGGGGUGUGUUUAUAUCAUUACAAAAGAAAAAAAGUAAAUAAAAGAUCCACGUCAGCCGAAAAAAAAGUAAAUAAAACAUCCACGUCAGCCUGUUGCGCCUGAAGACCGAAGGCGCGCUUUGCGCUUUACCUAAGGCGCACAAAGGCGCCAUCAGCUAACUUGGAGAGCUAAAGGCGCUGAAAGCUGCACCUAGGUGCGCCUUGGGCGCGUUUUUUAAAGUAAGCCUGUUACACCUCUUACUUCUCCCAGAAAUACAAACACAAAUUCCUCUUCUCCUUCUUCUAAUGUUGUCAUUGAUACUCAUAGUCCUUGUUCUAGUGAAUCUCAUGUUUCCUCUAGUCCUAAUCCAAUUCAACUUCUACCCAGUUAGCACAUAUUUCCCCUGAAUCUAGCUCGAUAGAUGUUCUCAGACAGUCUACAAGACAUGUCAAACCUCCUACUAAAUUCAAAGACUAUGAGUGUGGUAUUCCUCUUUCUUCGAGGCACUUUUCUUCCUCUUUUCUUUCUUUCAUAGCUAAUGUUAUGAAUGCAAUUGAACCGUCAUCCUAUAAUAUUGCAAAGAAUCAUCCUGGAUGGGUAGAAGCCAUGGAUAAGGAAUUAGUUGUUUUAGAUGCUAAUGACACUUGGGAGAUUACUACUCUUCCAAAAGGAAAGAAAGCAAUAGGCUCGAAGGGAGCCUAUAAGACUAAGUUUGACAAAGAGGGAUAAUUUGAAAAGUUACAAGUAGAAUGGUAGACAUUGGUGAUCAACAAGUUCCCGGGAAAGAUUUCAAGGAUACAUUCUCUCCUGAACUAGCUACUGUGAGGAUUCUCAUAGCUCUUGCUACAACAAAGCAGUGACCAUUAUGUCAAUUGGACAUAAACAAUGCCUUUCUCCAUGGGUUUAUUAAAAAAGACUUGUAUAUGAAGCUUAGUUUUAAAAAGCGCGCUUUAACGCACAUAAAGAGCAGGGCGCACAAGGGAGCAGCUGGGAUCGCACCUGGUAAGAGUAGCGUAGCGAUGUACAGGUAGCGCGCGCCUUUGGCACUUUUUCCAGAAGCGCGCUUUUGAAGAAGCGCACGCUUCUUGUAUACUUAGCGCAGGAAAAUGAAACUUGUUGUUUUACCUGGAAUAAAUGAGCACGUGAGAAUCACGUGACCUUUUUAAUUGGGUGCAAGCUGGGAGUAACGGGCAGAAAUUAGGAGAGAGAAACCCAAUUCUUCACAUUCGACAUUUGGGGGUUUUCUCCAAAACCCUAACUGCGAAGUUGGAGCUACCCAACUACCGUGCUGCUGCCGGCCAGCCACCAGCCACCGUCUCGCCGGUCAGUUCCGCAACACCAGGAUGGCUACCAAUGAGGGUGGUUCAAGCACACCUUCUUUAGACACCGUGGAUCCGGCAAGAAAGUAUGGUAAAUCGGAACCUACUAAUAAGACUAAUGGGCAUUGUAGCUUUUGUGGUAAAGUAACAAAAGGAGGGGCUCUACGAAUGAGCAACAUAUGCUUCCUUUUGGCGCACAAGGGCACUUUAGCCUCUUAGACGUAUUCCGCUUUGGUGUCUAGUAAUGAAUUAUGCUUCCUUUUGUUAAUUUAUGCAUUUAUAAUAUAAGAAUCAUAUUGUUUUAAGUACAAAA
This is a long non-coding RNA of Spinacia oleracea (spinach), 4830 nucleotides long. RefSeq lists it as uncharacterized. The transcript has 2 exons. The record is from RefSeq and is a predicted model, not a curated record. NCBI's taxonomy places the organism in Eukaryota, Viridiplantae, Streptophyta, Magnoliopsida, Caryophyllales, Amaranthaceae.